Molecule: long non-coding RNA, 1001 nt
Filed under: Heterocephalus glaber (naked mole-rat)
Lineage: Eukaryota; Metazoa; Chordata; Mammalia; Rodentia; Bathyergidae
Description: lncRNA (ENSHGLG00000034138.1)
Source: RNAcentral
CCCGUCCGCACCGCGGCCCGCUCACCUGCACCUGUUUGCGGAAGUGGCGCGGCCCCGGCAUAACCGACGACCAGGCGCAAAAGCACCAGCAGCAGCAAUGCAGGUGGCCCCGGCAUCUCGUCCACGGUGCAGCCCCUCUGGGCGGUUCUCGGGUCGUCUUCCGUGGGUCCGUCCGUCUGCCAGUCGGUCCUGCCUCAGCGGCACCCGCGCCGGCUGCCCCUAAGCACGCGUUGCUUCGGCCCAAAUUCAACUCGGCUCCUGGUCCGCACCCGCCGCUCCGGCUGCAGAAGCAUCAUCCUUUCCGCCUGCCUGCGCCGCCGCUGCCGCAGCCUCUCAACAGCAGCAACAGCAGUGACCCUGCGGAGCCGCGGGCCCCGGCAGCUGCGCUCCCGACGCCAUAAUGGGCUGCGUCAUGUGACGUAGCGCGGGGGCGGAACUCCGUGAUGGACAGAUGGGCAGCCAAUCGUCAAUCCGGACCGGUCCCGGAGGCCCAGCCCAUCUUUCUGGAGGAGGACAGGGGAGCGCCGGGGCGCCCCCUGCAGACAGAGGAGUGCGUGGGCAGCAGAUGAGAAUACAGAAACAGAGACGUUAAGUACCUUGACCCAGGUCACACCACUAGGAAGUGGCAGAAAUAGGAUCCAAAUUCAGGCAGCCUGGCUCCAGAGUUCUUGUUUUUUGGAGUAUAUGUAUACCCAGAUGUGGGGUUGCUGAACAAGCAGAUUUCAAUGGAAACAGAAACUAGGCCACUUCAAAGUCCCCUGGCUCCUGAUUCUUCUUGUUGCCUCUGGGGCAACUCCCGGGAGAUUUACAAAACAGCAGCAGCAAACCGAGACCAUCAGUCUGAGUUGGAAGGGUCUUCAGAAGCCAUCAAGUCCUCAGCCCCCACUUAUGGAUGAAGAAUUUGUACUGAAUCCAGUCAUGCCACAAGCCAGUUCCUUCAUCCUGGUCAUGAAGCCUGGGCCUGGGGCACAGCUACUUCACUUAUCCUCUUGGAGACAAAG